This 865-nucleotide long non-coding RNA is filed under the name Bemisia tabaci. RNAcentral's name for it is "lncRNA ENSSSA2NGG006261". Lineage: Eukaryota; Metazoa; Arthropoda; Insecta; Hemiptera; Aleyrodidae. The record is from RNAcentral.
CGCCGAGUCGCGGGAAAGGGAGCCUGGUGGCGGUGACGUGUUGGGCGAAUUCUGCGGAGACAGGCGUCGCCAUGACAACGGGCUCCGGCGCACGCUGCCGCUGCAGCUCGCUUCAGCGCCGCAGCCGGCCGGACCGAAUUUCAGCCAGUAGCCCAUCGUGUCGUGGUCCGGCCACUCGCGCCGCUUUUCCGUCGAGUCGCGGGUUUUUCGCGCGUGUUCAACCGUGCGCCAGGAUGUGAGGAAGAGCAGCCGUAAUUUCCACCGGCGCGCUCCAUCGGACUACACUCUUUUCAGCCAAGGUUUCGGCGGGUUCCGGGGCGGGCUUGAAUGCAGGAGGGCGAGCGGGAGAAUGCGGAGGUGCGUGAGGAGUGCGGAGCAGAGAAACCGCGACAACGGUCGCGGAGCAGGGACAAAGAGAAGGAGAGCGAGGAGCCGGCGGCGGAGGCCCUCGGGUGGGACAUCGACGCCGACCUGGAGCUCACCGGGGAGGGCGACGCCAAGCUCUCCCUCCAGAGGAUGCUCUCGGCCGGACACAACCAGCCCAGCCCGGCCGCCCUCCGCAGGCGUCUCCACCACCCCCCAAGACGCUCCGCUACCAUGACCUUCCAGCAAACGUGGCGGAGCAGCACAUCUGACAUCGAAGCUCUCUCUCAAAGAAGUCCAUCAUCAUCAAGGUAAGAAAGUAAGGCUGAAUCAUCCAUUUGCCAUUCUUAAAAUCGUCUAACUGUUAAUUUCUAUCGAGCUUUAAUUAUUUUACCUUCGAAGCUCACGACAAAUCGGAUUCCUCCCCUUUUCUACAAACGGCAUCUCUUACAAUCAAAUUAAAAUAAAAUCUCUGUGAUAAUUCCCUAUUGUAACUCCGAAC